RNAcentral lists this ribosomal RNA (400 nucleotides) under uncultured bacterium. RNAcentral's name for it is "bacterial SSU rRNA". It matches the Rfam family "Bacterial small subunit ribosomal RNA", at positions 355 to 772 of the family's 1533-position model. The record is from RNAcentral.
UGGGGAAUAUUGCACAAUGGGGGAAACCCUGAUGCAGCAACGCCGCGUGAGUGAUGAAGGUCUUCGGAUUGUAAAGCUCUGUCUUUGGGGACGAUAAUGACGGUACCCAAGGAGGAAGCCACGGCUAACUACGUGCCAGCAGCCGCGGUAAUACGUAGGUGGCAAGCGUUAUCCGGAUUUACUGGGCGUAAAGGGAGCGUAGGCGGAUACUUAAGUGGGAUGUGAAAUACCCGGGCUCAACCUGGGUGCUGCAUUCCAAACUGAGUAUCUAGAGUGUGGGAGAGGAGAGUGGAAUUCCUAGUGUAGCGGUGAAAUGCGUAGAGAUUAGGAAGAACACCAGUGGCGAAGGCGACUCUCUGGACCAUAACUGACGCUGAGGCUCGAAAGCGUGGGGAGCAAA